RNAcentral lists this ribosomal RNA (360 nucleotides) under Ceratobasidiaceae sp. UAMH 5724. RNAcentral describes it as "eukaryotic LSU rRNA". It matches the Rfam family "Eukaryotic large subunit ribosomal RNA", at positions 67 to 420 of the family's 3401-position model. Lineage: Eukaryota; Fungi; Basidiomycota; Agaricomycetes; Cantharellales; Ceratobasidiaceae. The record is from RNAcentral.
AACAAGGAUUCCCCUAGUAACGGCGAGUGAAGCGGGAAGAGCUCAAAUUUAAAAUCUGGCAGUGUCAUGCUGUCCGAGUUGUAGUCUAGAGAAGCAUCAUCCGUGCUGGACCAUGUACAAGUCUCUUGGAACAGAGCGUCAUAGAGGGUGAGAAUCCCGUCCUUGACAUGGACUCCCAGUGCUUUGUGUUGUCCUCUCACCGAGUCGAGUUGUUUGGGAAUGCAGCUCAAAAUGGGUGGUAAAUUCCUUCUAAAGCUAAAUACGUUGGGAUGACCGAUAGCGAACAAGUACCGUGAGGGAAAGAUGAAAAGCACUUUGGAAAGAGAGUCAAACAGUACGUGAAAUUGUUAAAAGGGAAAC